Homo sapiens (human) is the source of this 531-nucleotide long non-coding RNA. RefSeq lists it as uncharacterized. The record is from RefSeq and is a predicted model, not a curated record. NCBI's taxonomy places the organism in Eukaryota, Metazoa, Chordata, Mammalia, Primates, Hominidae. The transcript has 2 exons.
GAUGCACACAGUUGGCUCUGCUAGCUGAGCAGGGUGAAGCCGGCACCAGGACACCAUUGACUAAGGGCCAUGGAGACCCAAGAGGCAGCUGUUGUAGGAGAGGGCCAGGGCCAGAAGCAGGGCUCAAUCACCAUCGACACGGUUUCCAGUUCUCCACUUCCUCCCAGUUCCUUGAUGUGUCAAUCCAGAUAUCUGGCAUAUGCAACUUCCUCCUGGUGAACACCUCCAUAUGGAACAUCCAGAUACAACCUUCUUGACUCAUCCCACUGACUCACCCCACAUGGACCGUGCAGAUAUGCCACAGUAGCCACCUCUCAGUCACAGCAUGACUUCUGGAACUUGUGCCUGCUUGCUUCAAACCCACCGAUUAAAACUUCCUGCAGGAAAUCUGUAUAGAGAAUGCCCUAGACUCCAAUAAAGGCAAGGGUCCUUCUGUCUCUCUCCCUCACAUGCUCCCUGACUUCUGUGUGUGUGGCCUCUGGGCAUGCCGUGUACCCUCAGGACCUGUAAGUAAUAAAAUCUUUAUUUCCA